This 20-nucleotide small nuclear RNA is filed under the name Arabidopsis thaliana (thale cress). RNAcentral's name for it is "snRNA_12378". Lineage: Eukaryota; Viridiplantae; Streptophyta; Magnoliopsida; Brassicales; Brassicaceae. The record is from RNAcentral.
UCAGCCCUUUGUCGCUAAGA